GAUGAACGCUGGCGGCGUGCCUAAUACAUGCAAGUCGAGCGAAAAGAUGAGGAGCUUGCUCCUCUGACGUUAGCGGCGGACGGGUGAGUAACACGUGGAUAACCUACCUAUAAGACUGGGAUAACUUCGGGAAACCGGAGCUAAUACCGGAUAAUAUAUUGAACCGCAUGGUUCAAUAGUGAAAGACGGUUUUGCUGUCACUUAUAGCUGGAUCCGCGCCGCAUUAGCUAGUUGGUAAGGUAACGGCUUACCAAGGCAACGAUGCGUAGCCGACCUGAGAGAGUGAUCGGCCACACUGGAACUGAGACACGGUCCAGGCUCCUACGGGAGGCAGCAGUAGGGAAUCGUCCGCAAUGGGCGAAAGCCUGACGGAGCAACGCCGCGUGAGUGAUGAAGGUCUUCGGAUCGUAAAACUCUGUUAUUAGUGAAGAACAAAUGUGUAAGUAACUAUGCACGUCUUGACGGUACCUAAUCAGAAAGCCACGGCUAACUACGUG
This 497-nucleotide ribosomal RNA is filed under the name uncultured bacterium. Its description in RNAcentral is "partial 16S ribosomal RNA". It matches the Rfam family "Bacterial small subunit ribosomal RNA", at positions 28 to 507 of the family's 1533-position model. The record is from RNAcentral.